This is a long non-coding RNA of Rhagoletis zephyria (snowberry fruit fly), 417 nucleotides long. RefSeq lists it as uncharacterized. The record is from RefSeq and is a predicted model, not a curated record. Lineage: Eukaryota; Metazoa; Arthropoda; Insecta; Diptera; Tephritidae.
CAACCACAGCCUCAAAAAUUAUCACAGCCACAACUACCUACGCAGUCACCAGCUCCCGCUACCUCACCUGUAACGGAAAAUGCAAGUACAGCGGAGUGCGUCCCCUCCACGCAGGAGCUAUUAGAAGGGCUUGGCAUUAGGAGACUAGAGCUCGAUAAGAGUGAGAGCGAUCUUAGGCUGUCCGACUUAGACGAGCCAAAGAGAUGAACCACGGCGCCUGGCAGUAGCCCAGGUCAACCUGCACCAUGUGGGGGCUGCUUCGUAGUCAUCGCUAGCAGGUUUGCCACGGAAGACCUGGGCAUCCUACUGAUACAUGAGCCGUGGACCUACAAAGGCCAGGUAAGGGGCCUAAACCACAGCAACAAUAAGUUCUUAACACAAGAUAUGGUAGCGGUACAGGCGACGCUGAGAGUCGGU